ACCCACCCCUCAGUCCCUGCAAAGGGGACAAUAUACUUGAAGCCUAAUUGGGCUGUGGUUAAAAGUCUGACUAUUCAUUAUUUAAGCAAGUUCAGAGAAUACAUAUACAGUGCUCUAGACUUGGUUGGUUCGGAGCUGUUCAUGCUUAUGCAAACAACAAUAUUAAAGAGAGCCCAAGAUAAUUCUUUGAAUGUUUGGAUUAUGAUCACGUAAAGUAGAUGCACUGUAAUUAAAUGUCAAACCAAAUUGUGGGACACAAAUUGAGAUAUAUGAAUCAUUAUUUAAAGUAUCUCUUUUAUUUUACUUGAAGCUAUAUAUUUAACAUUUCUGCAUUUAAUAUAAAAAAAACUGCUAGAUCUACGCUUUAUAUUUCGUUGGCUUGUGUUCUUACAUUAUCCUAAUUGAUUACAAACGCAUCAAACUCAGAGAUGUCUGAAGUGUUUUUUACUGUUCCAGUCCAUUCUAUUUGGUCACAUGUCAAUGACUUCAUCUGCCCUUUACCCCCUCAGUUCUGGGGAAUCAACCAGAAGGGACCUAAUCAUUGAUAUGGUAUUUUAAUAUCAAUCGAUGUACUCCUUUGACAAGUGGCGCAUGCCUGCAAGCAUGCAAAUCGAGUGUUUCCCACACAUAGACCUUACCUCGGCAGGUCGUCUGAAUCAAAACAUAUGAAAGAUUGUUUUUGGCUUUUCCUGGCAGAGAAAGCAGCCGGCCAAAUGUAUUAGUAGUAUAUACUAUAUGCUGUUUGGGUCCAUUCCUAUCUGAACACACUUCCGGUUGGGGAGGGUGGGGGUGGAGGGGGGAUCCCUAUUCACAGGGGCCACUUCCUGUUUAUGGUUUAUGACGGGUCAUAAAACAUAAAACCCAUUGUGUAGGGAUGACAGGUGUAAUGACUGUGGUGGACCUGCAGGGGUCGCUGGGGUGCGGGAUCUGUAUAGGCAGAGGUGUGUAUGUGGGUGUGAUUAGUGUAUGCAUGUGUGUGUGUGUGUGUGUGUGUGUGUGUGUGUGUGUGUGUGUGUGUGUGUGUGUGUGUGUGUGUGUGUGUGUGUGUGUGUGUGUGUGUGUGUGUGUGUGUGUGUGUGUGUGUGUGUGUGUAUGGUAUGCGAGGCCAGGGCGGCUGGUCUGUAGGGGUGUUAACAGGAAGAUCACAGUGCUGUUGGAAGGACGGCCAGCCGGCAAUGUGGACAGGGGGGCGAGGCCCUUGAUGGCGGAAGUGGGCAUACAGACGAUGUCAUAGAGAGUGUGAGGUGGGACACAGUAGAUUACGUGAAAAGCGCUAUAUAAAUUGAAUCUAUUAUUAUUAUUAACAGAUAUUCUAGUGAUUUUCAUCUAACAUGGUGUAUUUGGAUCAACUUUAUUUUACCAUUAGUAGAUUGUCUGUCUAUGAUGCGUUGAGUGGGCGUAGGCCUGUAGGACCUACGUGUGCGUGGGUCCAGUACCUAUUGGACAGGCGUCUAUGACGUAGGGGCCUUAGGUGUGAAUGUCUACCGAGGGACUGCUAUCAGGCAUAAAUAUACGGGGCCCCGUGAUACGGGAGCGUACGACCUCCGACCCUGACGUUAGACACGCUAUUCUAAGUUAGUAAACGCGUCGUGGCAGUUGGAAGAAAAAAAAAAACAGCGAUCUGUCCUGCACAACUAUGCCGACUGACUCUGCGAUUACUUCACAGCGAAUUGCGGUGCCGGAGGCGAGAGCGUGAAACAGCAGCAGGGUCCACGUGGAAAUUUGCCUGAUAUUCGGCUCAACAUUCAAAGACCGAUUCUAGCAGACCAGACUAAUGUGCUGACAAGCGGUAGUUUUGUACCUAUCGAGGCCAAUGUCAUUCAGCGAACCCCCGGACCAAAUCGACUGUCCAAGAAGAAUUUGAAAAGAUCGGCGGGGGUAGUGGUGGCUAUACCCUGUUCACCACUGGCCAUAGAACAGCUACAAAUUCCUUAUAAAAAGGCUCGCAAGGAUGCCACACAUAAUGGUUUAACUCCGGAGAAUAUUACCCAGGUUAUACAGACAGUCAUAAAUCCGCAAAUUGCGCCACAUGGAGCGGCAUGGACUGAUCCCAAACACCGUGUGAUCGGGGACGUGGAGGUGUAUGUGCCUACAGAGACCGUCACUGUGCAACCGGAUGGGACUAUACAACACGCCCAUGGAGAUCCCCAGUGUGCGCCACCACCAGAGCUGACCGCCGACGAUUGGGCUGGUCUUGACGACAUCUCGUCCUGGACUUCAUCGUUGUUGGAACAUAUCGACUUCACUCCUGCGCAGUGGAUCGACUCUCCAUCUACAUCCGUAGAGGCUACCACCAGUGCAGAGCCUGUACAACACCAUCAGCCUGCAGAUCCUGCAUCUGGACCCCUACAAGCCAUUCAAGACCCUAUCAGCGACCCCCCGUGCACCGUGAGUCCCAUCGCUCAUGAGGUAGCGGUGCCAAGGCUACCAGCCGGCCCCGCAAUUGCUGUUGAUGAACACCAUGCAGGGGUGCAAGGUGAUAAAUGGCGUAAACAAUUUGCUGAUAAACUAGCUGUGUUAACUGCGUCGGUAGAUGUAAACUCCUUAGGCAUUGCUCGUCAGCGUAAACUGGGGGUGGAGGCUGGUAAACGUGUUGACAGUAUAUAUCAGAAGCUCGAAGAACAGACGAAGAAGUCCUUCACGACUCUCAGGGCCGAGAUUGCGCGUGAUCGUAUGAUUGCUGAAUCCCCAAACACUGAGACCAGUAAUGGUCGUGCUAUCGUUGCCCUUCAGCGUAAGCAUUUGGAUGCCGUGGCAGCUGUGCGUGUCAACACGCAGGGCAUAGUGAGAAUUAACGCGCAAGAGGGGUUAAGAGAUGCUAAAACCGCUCGAAAAUUCUGGUUAAUGCAAUCUGCUAGCGAAGCCAACGUCAAUGCCUAUCGGGCAAUGAGUACCGAGAUGUCUGUGAUUAAUGAAACACUAGCAAAGCUUACGAUGAAUGCUAUUAUUUGAUUUGUGUUUUUGUUUUUAAUGUUUUUUUCUUUUAUUUCAUGGAGAGGGUAUCUUUUGUUUUAAACUGCAUGUAAUAAAACUUUUUCU
Gadus morhua (Atlantic cod) is the source of this 3039-nucleotide RNA transcript. RefSeq lists it as uncharacterized. The record is from RefSeq and is a predicted model, not a curated record. The transcript is spliced from 5 exons. Lineage: Eukaryota; Metazoa; Chordata; Actinopteri; Gadiformes; Gadidae.